This 67-nucleotide transfer RNA is filed under the name Oniticellus egregius. RNAcentral describes it as "tRNA-Asn". Lineage: Eukaryota; Metazoa; Arthropoda; Insecta; Coleoptera; Scarabaeidae. The record is from RNAcentral.
UUAAUUGAAGCCAAAAAGAGGCAUAUUACUGUUAAUAAUAUAAAUGGAUAUAUAAAACCCAAUUAAA